AUUGGAGAGAUGUCCUGCAGUGCUGCCUCCACAGCCUGAGAGAAGAUCCCUGGUGAUAGCUACAGAUUGCAAGACAGCAGCAGCAGCUUCUACAGCAACAACACAAAAUCAAUUUGCUCCAGCAACAGAUCCAGGUUCAAGGUCAGCUGCCGCCAUUAAUGAUUCCCGUAUUCCCUCCUGAUCAACGGACACUGGCUGCAGCUGCCCAGCAAGGAUUCCUCCUCCCUCCAGGCUUCAGCUAUAAGGCUGGAUGUAGUGACCCUUACCCUGUUCAGCUGAUCCCAACUACCAUGGCAGCUGCUGCCGCAGCAACACCAGGCUUAGGCCCACUCCAACUGCAGCAGUUAUAUGCUGCCCAGCUAGCUGCAAUGCAGGUAUCUCCAGGAGGGAAGCUGCCAGGCAUACCCCAAGGCAACCUUGGUGCUGCUGUAUCUCCUACCAGCAUUCACACAGACAAGAGCACAAACAGCCCACCACCCAAAAGCAAGGUUACUUAAAUGACCAUGAUGCUGUCACCAAGGCAAUCCAAGAAGCUCGGCAAAUGAAGGAGCAACUCCGACGGGAACAACAGGUGCU
Molecule: long non-coding RNA, 576 nt
Filed under: Homo sapiens (human)
Lineage: Eukaryota; Metazoa; Chordata; Mammalia; Primates; Hominidae
Description: non-protein coding lnc-SOX5-5:34
Source: RNAcentral